UUAAAUUGAAGAGUUUGAUCAUGGCUCAGAUUGAACGCUGGCGGCAGGCCUAACACAUGCAAGUCGAACGGUAACAGGAAGCAGCUUGCUGCUUUGCUGACGAGUGGCGGACGGGUGAGUAAUGUCUGGGAAACUGCCUGGUGGAGGGGGAU
Molecule: ribosomal RNA, 152 nt
Filed under: Escherichia coli
Lineage: Bacteria; Pseudomonadati; Pseudomonadota; Gammaproteobacteria; Enterobacterales; Enterobacteriaceae
Description: partial 16S ribosomal RNA
Rfam family: Bacterial small subunit ribosomal RNA
Source: RNAcentral